Molecule: long non-coding RNA, 1036 nt
Filed under: Homo sapiens (human)
Lineage: Eukaryota; Metazoa; Chordata; Mammalia; Primates; Hominidae
Description: PREDICTED lncRNA (TCONS_00173957)
Source: RNAcentral
CCGGAAGUGCGGAUCCCAGCGGCGGUCGUGUAGCUGAGCAGGCCUGGGGCUUGGUUCUAUGUCCCUGUAGCUAUGUUUCCAGUGUCCUCUGGGUGUUUCCAAGAGCAACAAGAAACGAAUAAAUCUCUGACCCUUCUCAGGUGCAGCCAGAGAGACACUAGCCCACUGAUGGACGGACAGACGUGGGCAGGGUCCGUGUCACUAAACCACCCACCACUGCCACAGCUGCCUACAACAGACACAUCAGAUGACACUCCGGGCAUAUAAAUGAUUUUCACUGAGGACUUACUGGUUUUAAUAAUAGGUCCUGGUGUAGAGAAGUCCCUCAACCUAUUGUGCAAUGAGUUUUGAGAAGCGGGUAAGCUGUAUGUUUUGUGGUUUUGUUUCAUAAAUGCAUCUACAGGAAGACCAAUAUUGACUGAAUGAAGCUUUCAUUUAAAGAGCUAAAAUAUGCUUUGUGUUUUUAUAUGUGGAUACUACUUUAAACCUAAUGACUAUUCAUUGUAUCAUAGCUUGUGAUGUAUUCUGCUCAUGGCUUUUAAGGUAAAUUGUGCCAUGAUCCACUGCCAUUCGAAUUGCUUUAACAAGUCAUUACCACACUACUGUUACAUCUUAAUUAUGCAUACAGACAGGUAGACUUAUUUUACAUAUGUGAACUAACUAGUUGUCAAAGCAAAUGCAGAUUGUAUUCUGCAAGUAAAGUCUUUUUCUCUCUGUAAUUUCUAGGGAUGUUCUUUAAGUGAAAUUCAUAUUCAAACUGAAGAUUUUAGUUACAAGAACUGAGUGCAGAUUAAAGUCUUUUGUGAUUCAAACAUAGUCAAGAGUACAACUGUGAUAUUUCAUGGAAGUUAUGCAAUAAAAUGUCUCUAACCUGUGAACAAAUCUAUCAAGCAGACGGCACAGUACUGAAUUUGAAACCAGAAAUACUGGGUUUUUAUAUAAAUGCUUCAUAGAUUUGUUUUAUGAUAAAGGGCACAUAACUCUCCUAAACCUCACACCACCUCUUGAAUAGGUAUAAUAAGUCCACAUCAAUGCU